AAGUCGUAACAAGGUUUCCGUAGGUGAACCUGCGGAAGGAUCAUUAUUGAAUAUAAACUUGGAUAGACUGCUGCUGGCUUCUCUUUGAGGGGGGCAUGUGCACGUUUGUCCUCUUUGUUUUUCCACCUGUGCACCUUUUGUAGGCUUGGAUUAUCACUGGUUCUAUAAUGUGUCUUUCAAAGGCAUAAGAAUUGUUUUGGGGCUGCUGUGUUUAAACACAUGUUUAUCAGCUUUCCCUUUUAUUUUCCAAGUCUAUGUUUGCUAUAUACACUUCAGAAAUGUAAUAGAAUGCUGUACUUUAGGUCAUUUGUACCUAUAAUAAAAUCAGUACAACUUUCAGCAACGGAUCUCUUGGCUCUCGCAUCGAUGAAGAACGCAGCGAAAUGCGAUAAGUAAUGUGAAUUGCAGAAUUCAGUGAAUCAUCGAAUCUUUGAACGCAUCUUGCGCUCCUUGGUAUUCCAAGGAGCAUGCCUGUUUGAGUAUCAUUAAAUUAUCAACUGUGCCAAUUUGGUUACAGAUUGGAUGUGGGAGAUUUCUUGCAGGCUUUUGACUUUCUCUUUGAGAAGGGUUAGAAAAAAAAGUCAGCUCUCCUGAAAUGUAUUAGCAGUGCCUUUGUUGGUUCAUUAGGUGUGAUAAUUUAUCUACAUCUUCAAAUGGUACCUUCAUUUGUAAAGGGUCAUAUUGCUUCUAAUUGUCUUUGGACAAAACACGUAUAAUGUGUGACAGACUUGAUCUCAAAUCAGGCAGGACUACCCGCUGAACUUAA
Molecule: ribosomal RNA, 766 nt
Filed under: uncultured Inocybe
Lineage: Eukaryota; Fungi; Basidiomycota; Agaricomycetes; Agaricales; Cortinariaceae
Description: eukaryotic LSU rRNA
Rfam family: 5.8S ribosomal RNA (bases 332-485)
Source: RNAcentral